Molecule: long non-coding RNA, 1087 nt
Organism: Arachis duranensis
Lineage: Eukaryota; Viridiplantae; Streptophyta; Magnoliopsida; Fabales; Fabaceae
Exons: 7
Source: RefSeq, a predicted model, not a curated record
CUAGAAGCUUUGAUUGAAGCUGCGUUCGAAGCUAUCAGAUCUUGUGGAACUGAUUCUCAUGUCGUUCCAAGUCAUUGCGAUUACAAAGCCAGCAAUGUACCUUUUUAUGGAAAUUCAGAAGAUCGAUAGUAGUUACUAUCCUGAGACUUUCCAUAAGCUCUUUAUUAUCAAUGCUGGAUCUGGCUAAUGCUAUGAAAAGUUGUUAAGACAUUCCUAGAUGUUUGCACAGUAGCAAAGCUUCAAGAAAAAAGAAGGUCCUGCAGCAAAACCUUACUUAAAAUGGGCAGCAUCAAUGGCUACUUCUCUUGAUACUGGUGUCCCCUGUGUUAUGUACAUGCAAGUAGAUGCUCCUAAUCCUAUUGUAGAUUGACACAUGCAAUAGAGUUUACUGUGAUCAGUUCAUACCAAACUCUAAUGCUAAGCCGAAGAUUUAGAUCGAGGGCUAUAACGGAUGGUUUCUUUAUUGGAGCUGUACCUUAGAGACCUGUGAAAGAUCUUGCAUUUGCUAUGGCAAGAUUUUAUCAACUUUGUGAAACUUUUAUGAACUACUAUAUGGAAUCAUUAGACAGCCUAAGUGGAGACACCUUAAAGAUUUGCAUAAUUUUAUAAAGUUUUGUGAAGAAGCAUUGAUUACUACUGAUCCAGCAAUUACAUCUCUUCAUCCAAAUAUAGAGGUAUAUAUGAGUGUGAUUCUGAUUCUGAUUCUAAUUCUCAUUUUGAGGGCAUAUACAUUUCAGUAACCUCACAACAGAGACUUUUUUCUUCCUUCCAAACAAGGCAAGUUUUGGUAUGGUUAUUACUAUUAUCUCCACUUUCAUGCUAAUGGAUAUGCAAGACUAAUGCAUAAAAGCAUGUUAAGUUUAAUUUUGUUAGAGAAAUUAUAAGUUUGUGAUUAUUUAAAUUCGAGUUCAUUUAAUUUGUUUAGUUUUAGGAAUAGAUUUAAGUUUUAUGUUUAUUAUUUUUGUUUUAAUUUGUUUAGUUUUAGGAAUAGAAGAUGAUAAUGUUUCCCCUUUGCCUAUUGUUUCUUGUUUUUAUAUCCUUGUGUUGAUGCAGAGUAUGGAUAUUCUUUUCAGACAUCAUGCAUGUG